GAACGCUGGCUACAGGCUUAACACAUGCAAGUCGAGGGGAAACGGCAUUGAGUGCUUGCACUGAAUGGACGUCGACCGGCGCACGGGUGAGUAACGCGUAUCCAACCUUCCCGUUACUGCGGGAUAACCUGCCGAAAGGCAGACUAAUACCGCAUGUUCUUCGAUGACGGCAUCAGAUUCGAAGCAAAGAUCCGUCGGUAACGGAGGGGGAUGCGUCUGAUUAGCUAGUUGGCGGGGCGACGGCCCACCAAGGCGACGAUCAGUAGGGGUUCUGAGAGGAAGGUCCCCCACAUUGGAACUGAGACACGGUCCAAACUCCUACGGGAGGCAGCAGUGAGGAAUAUUGGUCAAUGGGCGGAAGCCUGAACCAGCCAAGUAGCGUGCAGGAUGACGGCCCUACGGGUUGUAAACUGCUUUUAUGCGGGGAUAAAGUGAGGGACGCGUCCCUUUUUGCAGGUACCGCAUGAAUAAGGACCGGCUAAUUCCGUG
RNAcentral lists this ribosomal RNA (489 nucleotides) under uncultured bacterium. RNAcentral describes it as "partial 16S ribosomal RNA". It matches the Rfam family "Bacterial small subunit ribosomal RNA", at positions 31 to 507 of the family's 1533-position model. The record is from RNAcentral.